This 6449-nucleotide long non-coding RNA is filed under the name Vigna radiata. Its description in RNAcentral is "long non-coding RNA (VRAD_LNC015702)". The record is from RNAcentral. Lineage: Eukaryota; Viridiplantae; Streptophyta; Magnoliopsida; Fabales; Fabaceae.
GAUGUUGUUGGGGGUUUACAAUUUCAUCUUUUCCACUCUCUCUUACAUACUACCCUUGAAUAUUAGUUUGAUUAAUUGUUAUGCGAAUUUCUUAACCUCCCCUUAACCCGAUCCCUCGACGAAAAGGGCUUAAUAUUAACUACUGGCUUGUUAUCCCUAGCCUCCCCUAGUAAUUAAUACCGCAUUAUAAACAGAAGUUAGCGCAAUUGAUCGUCCUACCCCUAUCCCUAGGUGGUAUUGCAAAAUCAAGAGAUUACUCACCAAUUCAUGUCAUUANUGUACGUCCCCAUAUCAAUAAAGACAAACAUAAAUAUACCGAAUGAGUUAAACGAUAAAGGCCUUAAGCACAGAUGAUAACCCAACAAUAANCAAUCAAAACAUAUGGAGACCAUAUAAAUAAUCAAGAGAUUCAAUAAGAGAGAGUAUCAAAAGAUUACAUUGUUUCCCCNAACAACAAUAGGGUUUAGUUCACCAUAGACAUGGUGAAGCUAGAUGAAAAAUGGAAGCAGAAUGGAAAAGCAAACCCUAGAAAAGAUGAAAAGGAGCCUAAGCAUCCAAGAGAUCCUGUCCAGAGAGCAAAAUUAGGUCUGGUCGUUCUCCCUUGUCAAAAGAAUGACUCUGAACUCGCAAUAGGGGUAUAUAUAGGUGAGGAGCGCAUUAGAAAACGGGCCCAAGUCCAGCGAGCCACUGCCGGGCGGUAUAAGUGUGCCGCGCGGCGGUUUGCCACAAAUCGCCCUACCGCCCGGCGGUAAUCGCCACCGCCGCGCGGUUUCCCUCAAGUCCGCCAAGCGUGAAUCGCCAUGCCUUCUCCUCGUCCUGGGCCACCCGGCUGUUUAAGUGUGUCGUCGGGCGGUGCGUCGACUCUUCAAAUCUUCAUUUUUCUGCUCUUUUCUUGAGUCAACGACCUGUAUCUUCAACUUCAUUCUCUACUUUUNUCAAAUUAGCUUCAAAACAAUGCAAAACAAGCAUAAAAUCGCUAAAAACAGCUUUUGACUCUCUUCAGACUCAUUUAUUGAGUUUUGCUUGAUUCUAAGCUCNUUCCGAGAAGUAAAGGGUGUAAUUUGGUCCAAAUUGACAUAUGAAAAUAACUGUUUUUCAACCUUCAUCACCAGCCACAGCACAAAACUGGUGGAAAUAUGUUGCAUCAAUGGUAUUUCUCAGUCUCUCAUAUGGGGGAACUGCAAUGUUCACCCCGGCUUGCUGGCACAGAAAAGUGAUCAAAGAUGGAUGCCCCAAUGGCAUCUUGCUACUAACGUUCAUAGCACAACUCCUAAUCUCAUCGGUAAUGAUUUGACCGACAUUUACCUCCAUCUGUCUCAUCAAGCAGAAGAUAAGACGAACCCUGUGAAUCGUGAUAUCUGAGAUGUGGGAGAACGGUUGGAUGUUGGCAUGCGUGAAUGCCAUCCAGUAUUGGGCUAGAGGUAUCAUAUCCAACCGUCGAAUGUUCACUGGUGCACCGCUAGCGUUAGGUUGAAAGUGUCUACCAGGAAGACACACAACCUCCUCAAUUUCCGCUACAUUAUCAAACACACCAGCAUGUGCCGCAUACUGGCACUGCUCUCCUGGCCACUCUGUUCCCAAGAAGUUGUUAAUACUAUCAGGGUCAUAACUAAUAGUCUGCCCCCUCACAAAGCUCAAAUAUCGCCCAACAACCACUCCUCCUCUAGGCACCGCGUUGGUGUAGAAUUCUUUUACCAAUUCCACACUGGCAGGUGCAGGAUAGGUUGUCAACCUCUCCCAGUCUCUCCUCAAAAUUUCCACUUCAAAUUCAGGAGCCAAAUCAGGUAUGAAGGAAGCCUUCCUCUCCAUUAGCAACCUCCUUUUUUGCACAGUAGCAAAGUGCUUGAUGAGUCAAUAUUUUCUUGACUUUACUUAGUUUAUUGUGCCAGAAUUAAUCAGGGAAUUGUGCUUAAUUUUCCGGUAUUAUCCCGUUUUUCCUAAAUAUGCUUAAUUUGACCGGAAAUUCUAAUUUUAAUUAAUUGGAAUUUUCUGAGCUAAUUAUUUGCAUUAUUAUUUGCAAGGAAAAUUUUGGAGAUAUAUUUUGGGACAUUUGGAGUGCUAUCAAAUAAGUCAAGACUCUUCACACGGACAUUUCAAAUUUAAUUACUUUGAAACUUAGUAGUCUAGAUAGUUUUAAUUAAAUUUGUAAACAAUGGGCCAAUUUUUGGUAAAAUAGUUUAGGCCCAAAAUGUUAGAAUAAAUGACACAUGGCACCUAGGGUUUUGCAAAAGGAGGUGGACCCCACCCUAUUUUUGAGACACUUGGUCCUGGGAGAUCUAAACCAGCCGUCACUUGGAAGGCACAUACUCUCUUGGCUGCAGAUUUUUUAUUUGUGUGGCUGGAACGUUUGGCAGCAACAAUUUUUCUUCUUGAACAUGUUCUUGGUAAUGGGUAUAGGUUGAAUGAAAAGGCUAUUGUCCAAUAUUUUAUUUUUAUUCAUUUUGUGAUAGCAUGGAAGUCUAGGGCCGACACACUCCUUGGGCUGGAGAUUUUCUUUGGAGUUUAUUGUUCAAUCAUGCACCACGUUGCAGCCACCCAACAUGUCUUUUGCCUUGCUUUGAUCUAGCAUACCGUCACAUCAAUUUUCUAAUAUUUACGUUGUCCUUUCAUUUGGGAGUUAUGCAAUUUUGUUGAAUCCAUCUAUUGCUUUUUGGUCUGAAUGAAAAGGAAGAUGAAUUUCAAUUCCAAAACACUAUUAUGUAGCUAAUAGAAUGAAAAGGGUUGUGGGGUGCGGUGAUUGGACAUGCCAAGCUUGGCAGCUAGAUGUUUAGCAUUGCUUUUCUUUUGUCUUAAAAAGAAGUAGUUAGGUUAUUAGAUAGAAGAGUGUGUGAUGUGACGGUGGGGGAAUAUAAAUUGUAGAGCACUUUAUUUUCUUUGUUUGUGUACAUUUCUUGGAGUAUCACGUGGGAAGUUGGCAGCAGUAGGUAUAGGCUAUUUCCUUGUUUUUUUUUCUUUAUUUCUUUAAGAAUGAAGAGUAGAUUAGAUGUGAGUUGAUGGAUGGUGUACGGUGGUGAUUAUGUGUUGAGAGAAGAAUUUCAUCUCAUUUCAAUUAAGUUUAGGUGUGCUCUUGUCUUGGCAAUGUGUUACGGUCAUGGGAUUGAUGAAGGGGAGGCCCACAUUUUGGAAAUUCAUUCACGGCUUGGCAUUGAUCAGCAACCACCACCUACUUUAUUCUUUUGUUGAUUUUCAAAAUUUAGAAGAAUGAAAGCACAUAGCCAAGGUUAGUUUGUCACGGUUUUAUGUUGGAUUACAGGGGCACGGUUUUCAAUCUUCUUUUUCAUUCAAUGUGAUGCUUUUACUUCAAUUGAAAAGUAAGUAGUUGCCAAGUUAUUUUUUUUGGGAAAUAUGUGGUGUCACGGGUUUGAUUUAAGCUGCAGCAGGGAAUUUAAUUUUGACUUUGGAUUUAAUUACUUUACAUUGCUUGGAGAUUCACGUUUUUUUUAUUAGAAAAAAGAAAGAGCUACUUUGUGAAUUCAAUUGGGUGGCGCAUUGUGAAAUUUUGAAAAAAAAGAGGUAGUGUCACGGCUUGAAGCUUGAACCGGUGGUGAAUUUGUUUUGCAAUUUCCAAGCUUUAUUUUAAUAUGUCUUUAAUUUGUUAGCUCAACAUUGCAUUUUUAAUUGCUUUACUUGUGUUUGGACAUUUAUCUAUUGCAUUGUUCAUGUUUAUUUUUUUUUCCUUUAGUUUAUCCGCAUUCACAAUCCUUUCACAAACCCCCUCCACUUCGUGUCUGACCUAAUUCUCGAACCACAUUUGGUCCUUGAGAGACGACCUAGGAGUCACUUCCUAACUAUACUGCAUUCCUAAUAUGCAAUCAAAUUUGUAUGGGCGGCGACAGCCCAUCAAUGCUCCUCAUGUUGUUUGGAGAGGAAUCUUUGAGAGUCAAAUCCUCUCGAGCUUUCUAGCAUCUUCCUUUUUCCUCCAGUAUUUCUUGUCUGGCGCGAUGCUGAUGCCAUUUCUGCAAUAAACACAAUUUUCCAAAAACCACAGAAAUCUAUUGUUAGGAGUUAAUGCAUCAACCAACAUUUUUUCGAACCCAACAAAAUUUACAACAGUGAGUGCACAGGGCCCCCCUUUCACAACGCAACAAACCGCCCAGCGGUACAAAGGCUUACUGCCCAGCGGUACAAAGGCUUACCGCCCGGUGGUCUGCACUAGGUUGAAUACCACCCGGCGGCAAAGGCAUACUGCCCGGCGGUUAGAAGGGUUUUAAAAAUAUUUUCCACAAAUCAAACCUAAUAUCCACUCAAAUGUUAAUUCCUACCAUCCAAAUCAAUUUCAAACAACUUAAUCGGUCCAAAAUAGUUCCCAAUUCAACAAUCCAUGCAAAGAAUCUCAAAACCCUAAGUUACCAAAUUCCUAAACAUGUUCAUCAAGAUUUUCAAAAUUGAGAACUAACAAAUGAAAUUGCACAACUUACUUAAGUGGAGAUAUGAAUGCUUGCAACAAAUCCUUCAAUAGAUGAUGGAAGACUCUAAAUGCACACUCCCACCAAGAAAANCAAAUCCUUCAAUAGAUGAUGGAAGACUCUAAAUGCACACUCCCACCAAGAAAAACCCCAAAUAUGAGCAAGAACAAAGCUUUUUGUGAGUGGGUGAUGAGAAAGUGUAUAGAAAUCUCUUUAAAACCCUCUUGGAAGUGCAAAUCUGGAGCAAGGGAGCAAGGAGACCGCCAGGCGAAACUCAAAGCUGCAAGGCAAAGUGAAGAAAGUUUGGAAAAACCCAGCUUUUAAAAGCUUCGGGUUUCAUGUUCUGCCGCCACCGCCAGGCGGCAAAGUGAUACCGCCCGGCGGUGGGUGGUAAUUUUCCCUACCAUGUUUCUUGCUUGCCUCCUUGUGAUUUCUCUUGGUGACUCCUGAUCUCUACCCUAAAUUUUCAUUCUCAAAAUUUUCCUCACUCAAAUGCAUAUGCACACACAAAAUGUACUAGACAGAAUUUUGAAAAACAGAAAAAAACAAACACAGAAAUUCAAAUUAUUAGACAAUAAUUGAGAAAGUAUCCACAAACACCCAUCAGUAGGUGUUAAACUUCUUUGUGCUUAGUAUUUUCUUCUUCUUCUUCUUUAUGCUAAACCUCUUCAAGAAGUUGAUCAUGCCAAGCACAUGUUUCCAUUCAUCAAUCAUAGGAGCCUUGAUCUCCAAUUUCUCGAAGAUCUCUUUAAAGUACUUGAACAUAUUUUCCUUCCUAUGAUUUUUCCUUUUAUGAGGAAGGGGUUUUUCACAUGACCUUUUUUUUUCCACUCUUCCUCUUUUUCCUAAUUUUCUCCUUCCUUAACCUUCUCUUUUUCUUUGUCUUUUCUUUCUUUAUUUUCAAAUUUUUUUUCUUUUUUUCUUUUCCUUCAACCAUGGCUUAUCCCUUCUCGUCCUUCUUCUCAUUCUCAUUCAACUUUUCUGUUUCCAUGUCCUCGAUCUUUUCUACAACAACAACCUUAUCAAUUGUGAAGAUAAUGGCAUGACAUUCUUCUGUAGGGUUAACUUCAGUAUUAACCCUAAUGAUGCCCAGAGACUUCAAAACAUGAGAGUGUUGUUCCUGCAAUAAAUGUUCUUGAGCUUCCCCUAAUGUUUCUUCACGUACAGGAGAUUGUUUUUGUUGUAAACGUUGUUGGGCUUCCCCCAACGUUUCUUUUGGUACAGAGAAUAGUUCCUGCCGUAAACGUUCUUUAGCUUCCCCUAAUGUUUCUUUUUGCGAAGAGGACUGAUGCCCUAAGUGGCUUCGAUAUAUAUUUGAAUAAGGGUCCCCCCAGUGGUUGAAAUCAUUUUGAUGAAAUUGAGUGCCCAUUUAAUCAAAUUCUUGAUCAGACUGCCUUCUACAAAACUUAAGCACAAAACCCUAGAUAACAUUUAUUAGAACAAAAAUAAACAUAAAAUCAAAUCAAGUCAAACUCAAUUAAUUCAAACUACUAGAAAAAUAAACCUCGAGUCCCCGUCAAAGGCGCCAAAAACUUGUUGACAAAUUGGCAAGUGUACCAAAUCGUACAAAUAAUAUAAAUGGUAAGACCAAGUAUCGUUUUCCCAAGAGACUCGUGUGGCUUUCUCAUUCGCGUGAAUUAAAAUAAUAAGACUUGAAAAAUAAAAAUUAAUAAAUUGGAUUUGAGAACAAAAAUAUUAACAUGCAAAAAUAAAUAUUGAUUCAAUUGACAAACGAAAACAAUGGUUGAAUGGAUGUUGUUGGGGGUUUACAAUUUCAUCUAUUCCGCUCUCUCUUACAUACUACCCUCGAAUAUUAGUUUGAUUGAUUCAAUUGUUAUGCGACUUUCUUAGCCUCCCUUAACCCGAUCCCUCGGCAAAAAAGGCCUAAUAUUAACUACUGGCUUGCUAUCCCUAGCCUCCCCUAGUAAUUAAUACUGCAUUAUAAACAAAAGUUAGCGCAAUUGAUCGUCCUACCCCUAUCCCUAGGAGGUAUUGCAAAAUCAAGAGAUUACUCACCAGUUCAUGUCAUUACUGUACGCCCCC